Molecule: long non-coding RNA, 358 nt
Filed under: Mytilus galloprovincialis (Mediterranean mussel)
Lineage: Eukaryota; Metazoa; Mollusca; Bivalvia; Mytilida; Mytilidae
Source: RNAcentral
CGUCAAUACAAGAUCAGGUAUCUCAUUAAAACAAUUUGUUAUUAAAAUUUUCAAUUUGGGAUAAUUAUAAUUGCUGACAUAAAAUUAGAUAUCUGAUUCUUAUGGGAUGAAUUGUUUUUAACUGCAAGCAUUCCAAGCUCUGAUUGAUUUGUUGUUUCUGUCAUAUUGUCAAUAACCUCCAUGAGACAGGAGCAUUGACCAUGUAACAUUAUUUUAUAUGUAUUCAUUUAUUCUCAGUGCUUGUAAGUAUAAACUAAGAUAAAGUAAGAAAUUUAAUUAUUUGAUUUUCUUUUGACUAAAAUGUUUGAUAAAGAUGCAAGCAAGACUUAUGUAUUGUUUAUUGUGAUGUUUUAUAUUU